AUAUCCAAGAUAUGGGAAGAUCAGAGUGAAUAUAUGACAAUUGGCUUAGAGCCUCUGAAAUAUGACCCUUUAUAAACCAGUAACAAAAUUGUAUAAAAGUGCGAGUACUAAUGCUAUUACUUGAUGUUAAAAUGAAGAUCAAUUUUAAAAAUCAUUUUGAAGCAAUGGCUCGUUGUCUAAACUCAUGUCUUAUUUUGAGACGUCUUUCUUAAUCCUUUCGAUGAAAUCCAUCACGGUCUUCACGCUCUUAUCAUCUGAGCAAGAAAACAGAAAACUAUUCACAUCAAUAACUCAUACACAACACUUUUUGUGGCAAAUGAAUAAAAUAUGAAAUAUACUUUAGUUUCUCCAAAAUCUCGCCAAAAAUAACUUUAGUCCUUGCAUAUUAAAACAAUGAUUUUAAUCUUUAUAUUUCUGAAAUGUCAUGAAUUUCAUCCUUAAUCUUAUAUUUAAUUUUGAUCUUACUAAGAACUUAAUCCACCCCAUUUUAAAAAAUACAACUUAAACCACACUUACCUAACUAAGAACCUAUCUUAGCACAAGCAUGAAUAGAAAUAGAUAAAAGAGAUAAAUAUAUAGAUGUCAGUACCUAAUCUUGGUAUUGUGUGUCCUUUGGGGUGGUGAAUCACCACGGGUUCAACACAGGAUUCUAGUAGUUCCAUUCCAUAUUGUUUCAAAAAAUCCACUUCACCUGCAUUAAGCAUUGAAAAGGUUUAGGAAAUUCUAACAAAAAUGAAUUGUAAAGCCAUGCAUGUUUACUGUAACAUGAAUUUGCCCCUCUAUAUAGAACCUUCCCUUUUGCCAUGAUUCGGAUUACAAUUUGAAAUUUUCAGUUGCAGAAGUUUUGGUUUCAAAUUUUUACUCAUGAUUACCUAGAAGACUUUGGGAAAUCUUAUUUUAUAAUAGCUCUGAUACAUCCUCCUUAUGAUAUUUGUUGUUUUUGAAAAUUUAGUUUUACAUUCAAUGGAGGACGUGGAAUGAUUGAAAGCACAUAAUUGAUGCCAAAGUCAAAAGCUAGAAAGCAACCCAAUAUUUGCACACAAUCAAUCAUGUUUAAACUGUGACAUAAUGAAAUUGAAGAUCAUUGUUCAGUCAAGAAUGAGGGCUAGCGAGAAUAUUCUUUUCCAAUAAACAAUGACAAAAGGUGGCAAGUGGGUACCUAGAAAAUGAAGAGAGGGACAGCUAAUGGGAGAAGAAUAUGCUUUGUCCACCACAGACGGUGACCUAAACUUUGCCCCUCCUACAAUAACAACGAAUUUCACCUUGGGAACCUUCGUCAGUGCCACACCCUGCACACAAAUAAAUUUAAUAUGUGAUUCAAACUUUUACGAAAUAUUAAAGAAACUAUAAAGUCAUCCUCUACUUCUUAUCUACAAUUGAUUCAUUAAAGGUACCUUCUCCUGAAGACCUGGCAGCGCAGCUGAUAAUAUUGCUCCCUGUUUGGUCAAAAUCAAACACCGAGUCAUAUUCAAAUCCUUCACCAUCAUAAAACCUCAAACCAGAUGCACUAACUAUGCAUUAAUCCUUCAAUUUUUAACUUAUUUCCCCAAAUCAAAGGAAUAAAAAUGAGCAGAAGAUCACCUGUGAGAAACCCAGAAGCCCAUCAAUAGGUCCGUGCUUGAUCAUGCAGUCCUCAAUGUACUUAAGGCACUCGUCAAAGUUGGUGUACUCUGUAAAUUCCUGUUUCGUCAUAGAAGUUUAGAUGGUUGCUAACAAAAUUAUGAUAUUCUCUUCCAGAAUUGAAAUGGCAUAUCAAAACUCGCUAGUUUUCAAUACGAAUCUCAAAUCCCCUUGGAAAACAAUACCAAUUUAGUAGGAGAAAAAUAAGUUGAAAUAAAAAUUGAAUGGAGGAAAUGGAACCUUGUUGAACUGGAACCACUCGUAGUAAGGAGGAUCAAAAAUGCCUUCGACGUCGGAUUUGCCUUGGCAAGGAAAAGGAGCAUCCACAAAAACAAGAUCAAGGUUGUCGAGAACGGAUUGUGGCCACUUAUGUAACUGCGUUUUCAGUAUUUCUCCGCUUGUUCGAAACCCAUGAAGGCACAAUAAUCUUGGUUUCCUCACGCCAUCGCUUCCCAUCUUUUUCUUUUCCUUCUGUCACCAACCCUAACGGAAUAACAGAAUUCAAGGAUUGAACGGAGUUAAUUUGAAGGGUUGGUUGGCCGCAGGAGAAGAAUAUGUUCG
This 2181-nucleotide small RNA is filed under the name Vigna angularis var. angularis. RNAcentral describes it as "Non-protein coding transcript". Lineage: Eukaryota; Viridiplantae; Streptophyta; Magnoliopsida; Fabales; Fabaceae. The record is from RNAcentral.